AUGCAGACACAUCACCAAAGACUUAAGAGAGACAGAAGAAAUGCCUUCUCCACGGGCAGAUGGAGUGAGCAGUGUAGAAUCCAUGACCACAGUUCAAGGCAUCUCAGAGACUCAUUUCUGAAGCCAGGGCAGAAGAAUCAUGCUGCAUCUCUACAGAAACGUAGGUUUGUCAGCGGUUUCUGUUUUUGUUUCUCUCCCAUUAUUUUUCCAGGUAUUUUUCUUCUUUCUUCUCUUGACUUCCUACCUCCUGCCCCUUCAUGUUUUUUUCUUCCCUUCCUUCCUCUUCCUCCUCUAGGAAAACAGGGGACUUUUACUUUUGUGUACUGGCUGAAAAAAAUGUAACAUCAGGAGACACUUUGAUAAUCCUGUGAUUGUGACCGUGAUAAGGAGGAGAGAAGGAAGAACAGCAAAACUAAUUUGCCCCAUACAAAAUCACUCACCUUUUGCAGACAAACUGCCCAUUUUCUCUAUUCCAUUCAAGCUACAUUGGGUGGGAGAAUUUCGAUCAUAAACUCCUGAAGAUGGCGUUCCCGUCAUGGCUCAGUGGUUAACAAACCCAACUAGUAUCCAUGAGGACACAGGUUCGAUCCUUGGCCUCGCUCAGUGGGUUAAGGAUCCAGCAUUGCUGUGAGCUGUGGUGUAAGUCGAAGACGCAGCUCAGAUCCUGUGUCGCUGUGGCUGGGACGUAAGCUGGCAGCUACAGCUGCAAUUCAACCCCUAGCCUGGAACUUCCAUUUGCCCGCAGGUGCAGCCCUAAAAAGACAACAACGACACACACACAAAAAUCACUGAAGAAGGUAAAACUGAAUUAUUUGUGUUAGGGUCUUUUUUAAAGGAAAGAUCAGUUUUUCUCUGGUUUUCAUAGAUGUCACGUUCAAGUUCAUGUGUUUUUCAUGCUGGGGAGGUGGUGGGAGUGGAUUGUAUUUCAUGCAAGCAAUUCUUCUAAGGAGAUGUAUCAGUGAUAGUCAAUGCAGACUUCAAAACCUACUUCAUCUGAGACAGUGAACAUCUAGGGAAACAUGAAUGUACCUUUUUUCUAUACAACUAAAACCCAUCAGAGUAGCCCAGGUAGCCAAUAAUUCAAGUGCCAUUAUCUCAUUAUCCAUAGGAUCAAUUUUGGUCCCUGUGGUGCACCUGUAGACACUUGCUGCUGCCAACUGGGAAAGAAAAAAGCACAACCUAAAAGUUAUGAAUUACGGUUUGUUCAGCAGAUUUUCUGGGGACUUUAAGCCCAGGAGGCAGCCUCUCAGCUCCGAGGAUCGGUUCUGAAAAGGCCAAGGAGGAGCCAGGAUAUAGAAGAGUUUUUGCAGCAAAGACCAGAUAACAGCAAAAGAUUACUGUU
RNAcentral lists this long non-coding RNA (1342 nucleotides) under Sus scrofa (pig). Its description in RNAcentral is "lncRNA (ENSSSCG00070025220.1)". The record is from RNAcentral. Lineage: Eukaryota; Metazoa; Chordata; Mammalia; Artiodactyla; Suidae.